Molecule: non-coding RNA, 304 nt
Filed under: Panellus sp.
Lineage: Eukaryota; Fungi; Basidiomycota; Agaricomycetes; Agaricales; Mycenaceae
Also listed under: 2 other names
Description: partial contains 5.8S ribosomal RNA, internal transcribed spacer 2, and large subunit ribosomal RNA
Rfam family: 5.8S ribosomal RNA (bases 1-52)
Source: RNAcentral
AACGCACCUUGCGCUCCUUGGUAUUCCGAGGAGCAUGCCUGUUUGAGUGUCAUUAAAUUCUCAACCUUCCUUGUCUUUAUUGAUGAGGUAGUGCUUGGACGUGGGGGUUGCGGGCUUCCUCAGAAGUCGGCUCUCCUUAAAUGCAUUAGCGGAACCUUUGUGGACCGUCUAUUGGUGUGAUAAUUAUCUACGCCAUCGACGCGGACGCUGUUAUAUGGGGUUCAGCUUCUAACCAUCUCGCAAGAGAUAACAACUUAAUUGACAUUUUGACCUCAAAUCAGGUAGGACUACCCGCUGAACUUAA